RNAcentral lists this ribosomal RNA (468 nucleotides) under uncultured bacterium. Its description in RNAcentral is "partial 16S ribosomal RNA". It matches the Rfam family "Bacterial small subunit ribosomal RNA", at positions 28 to 507 of the family's 1533-position model. The record is from RNAcentral.
GACGAACGCUGGCGGCGUGCUUAACACAUGCAAGUCGAACGGAAAGGCCCAGCUUUUGUGGGGUGCUCGAGUGGCGAACGGGUGAGUAACCCGUGAGUAACCUUCCCUUGACUUUGGGAUAACUUCCGGAAACUGGGGCUAAUACCGGAUAGGAGCUCCUGCUGCAUGGUGGGGGUUGGAAAGUUUCGGCGGUUGGGGAUGGACUCGCGGCGUAUCAGAUUGUUGGUGGGGUAGUGGCUUAUCAAGUCUUUGGCGGGUAUCCGGCCGGAGAGGGUGACCGGCCACAUUGGGAGUGAGAUACGGCCCAGACUCCUACGGGAGGCAGCAGUGGGUAAUAUUGCACAAUGGGCGGAAGCCUGAUGCAGCAACGCCGCGUGCGGGAUUACGGCCUUCGGGUUGUAAACCGCUUUCGCCUGUGACGAAGCGUGAGUGACGGUAAUGGGUAAAGAAGCACCGGCUAACUACGUG